AGAGUUCGAUCCUGGCUCAGGAUAAACGCUGGCGGCGUGCUUAACACAUGCAAGUCGAACGAAGUUUUUCUUUCGGGAGGAACUUAGUGGCGGACGGGUGAGUAACGCGUGGGUAACCUGCCCUGUACAGGGGGACAACAGCUGGAAACGGCUGCUAAUACCGCAUAAGCCCUUAGCACUGCAUGGUGCAUAGGGAAAAGGAGCAAUCCGGUACAGGAUGGACCCGCGUCUGAUUAGCCAGUUGGCAGGGUAACGGCCUACCAAAGCGACGAUCAGUAGCCGAUCUGAGAGGAUGUACGGCCACAUUGGGACUGAGACACGGCCCAGACUCCUACGGGAGGCAGCAGUGGGGAAUAUUGCACAAUGGAGGAAACUCUGAUGCAGCGACGCCGCGUGAGUGAAGAAGUAUUUCGGUAUGUAAAGCUCUAUCAGCAGGGAAGAAAAUGACGGUACCUGACUAAGAAGCACCGGCUAAAUACGUGCCAGCAGCCGCGGUAAUACGUAUGGUGCAAGCGUUAUCCGGAUUUACUGGGUGUAAAGGGAGCGUAGGUGGCAAGGCAAGCCAGAAGUGAAAACCCGGGGCUCAACCGCGGGAUUGCUUUUGGAACUGUCAUGCUAGAGUGCAGGAGGGGUGAGCGGAAUUCCUAGUGUAGCGGUGAAAUGCGUAGAUAUUAGGAGGAACACCGGAGGCGAAGGCGGCUCACUGGACUGUAACUGACACUGAGGCUCGAAAGCGUGGGGAGCAAACCGGAUUAGAUACCCUGGUAGUCCACGCGGUAAACGAUGAAUACUAGAUGUCGGGAAGCAUUGCUUCUCGGUGUCGUCGCAAACGCAAUAAGUAUUCCACCUGGGGAGUACGUUCGCCAGAAUGAAACUCAAGGAUUUACGGGGACCCGGAAAGCGGUGGAG
RNAcentral lists this ribosomal RNA (909 nucleotides) under human gut metagenome. RNAcentral's name for it is "bacterial SSU rRNA". It matches the Rfam family "Bacterial small subunit ribosomal RNA", at positions 8 to 937 of the family's 1533-position model. The record is from RNAcentral.